RNAcentral lists this ribosomal RNA (497 nucleotides) under uncultured bacterium. RNAcentral describes it as "partial 16S ribosomal RNA". It matches the Rfam family "Bacterial small subunit ribosomal RNA", at positions 28 to 507 of the family's 1533-position model. The record is from RNAcentral.
GAUGAACGCUGGCGGCGUGCCUAAUACAUGCAAGUCGAGCGAACAGAUGAGGAGCUUGCUCCUCUGACGUUAGCGGCGGACGGGUGAGUAACACGUGGAUAACCUACCUAUAAGACUGGGAUAACUUCGGGAAACCGGAGCUAAUACCGGAUAAUAUAUUGAACCGCAUGGUUCAAUAGUGAAAGUCGGUUUUGCUGUCACUUAUAGAUGGAUCCGCGCCGCAUUAGCUAGUUGGUAAGUUAACGGCUUACCAAGGCAACGAUGCGUAGCCGACCUGAGAGAGGGAUAGGCCACACUGGAACGGAGACACGGUCCAGGCUCCUACGAGAGGCAGCAGAAGGGAAUCUGCCGCAAUGGGCGAAAGCCUGACGGAGCAACGCCGCGUGAGUGAUAAAGGUCUUCGGAUCGUAAAACUCUGUUAUUAGGGAAGAACAAAUGUGUAAGUAACUAUGCACGUCUUGACGGUACCUAAUCAGAAAGCCACGGCUAACUACGUG